RNAcentral lists this transfer RNA (71 nucleotides) under Ovis aries (sheep). It matches the Rfam family "tRNA". Rfam says of the family: Transfer RNA (tRNA) molecules are approximately 80 nucleotides in length. Their secondary structure includes four short double-helical elements and three loops (D, anti-codon, and T loops). Further hydrogen bonds mediate the characteristic L-shaped molecular structure. tRNAs have two regions of fundamental functional importance: the anti-codon, which is responsible for specific mRNA codon recognition, and the 3' end, to which the tRNAs corresponding amino acid is attached (by aminoacyl-tRNA synthetases). tRNAs cope with the degeneracy of the genetic code in two manners: having more than one tRNA (with a specific anti-codon) for a particular amino acid; and 'wobble' base-pairing, i.e. permitting non-standard base-pairing at the 3rd anti-codon position. The record is from Rfam by way of RNAcentral. Lineage: Eukaryota; Metazoa; Chordata; Mammalia; Artiodactyla; Bovidae.
UCCCUGUGGCUCAGAUGGUAAAGCAUCUGCCUACAAUGCAGGAGACCUGGGUUCAAUCCCUGGGUUGGGAA